Long non-coding RNA from Numida meleagris (helmeted guineafowl), 3504 nucleotides. RefSeq lists it as uncharacterized. Lineage: Eukaryota; Metazoa; Chordata; Aves; Galliformes; Numididae. The record is from RefSeq and is a predicted model, not a curated record. The transcript is spliced from 3 exons.
GCUGGAGAUCCCUGUCUAUCCAAGGCCUCCCACAGGUCUUCAUCUGAGUUCAUCUAACCGUGACAUGAAUGAGGUCAGCUUGUUUCCUGUAAAUAGCCACCCAGUGGAGUUCGGAGUGGCCAAGGCUUACCCUCCCCAUUGUCUUUGAAUGGCUUCUCUGUAGGACCCGUGAUGCAGAAAUGCUGUAUCCAGGUACCUGCGUAUAAAUAACAGCAUAGGCAUAAGGCACUGUAUUCUUUCUUGUGAAUGAGGGCUGAACUGAUUGUGCUGGAAGAUAUUCUGGAAUCUUGUCCCUCUCCUGGGACAGACAGCUGGUUGUGCUAACGGAGCUAGCAAGGACCACGGACACAAUUUCUCAGAACCUGCAAGUUUCUACAGGCUUGUUUCAUGCACAGUGAGGCUUCAGUAAGGCUUAACAAACAAGACUUCAGGUACGAAGAGGAACAAACUAAGUGAGCGCAAUUUCUCUGACUUUGCUCUGUUGGUUAGAAUUCCUACACUACAAGUACACAGCUUGUCACAUGCAGAGGCAUUUUGUCAGAGGAUUCUCAGCUGACCUUCAUCUCUACUAACCUCUGCUCAGCUGUGUGGAGCUCAAGAAUAUUCAGUAGACAACAGGAGAAAGCUUUGUUAAUUAUUGAGAUGAACUUUCCUAAAUGCGUACCCUGCCCUCUAUGCGAAUCACGUACAAUAACAAACAAGAACUAUCUUCAAGGCAGGGUGUAUAAAAGAACAACUACGUCUAGGUAUUCAGAUUACGUCUGUUAUUAAUUUUGGUUGGGAGCUCAAAUAGGACAGCUCUUAUUUUCAAAAAGGCUGCUGGGCAGAGCAAUGGGAUGUUGAGAAAAGUACGUGCAGAAAGAAGCCCGGGUGUCUUCUCUGUAAGACCCAAGCAACAAUGUUGUUAAAAUACUUGGUCUGUAGGGGAGAUGAGGGAUGUCAGCCUGCUGAUGGCAAUUCCUGCUACAAGAUGGCCAGAUAAUCCCCCUUUACUGGGGGAUUUAUUUCCAUAUCUGUUUUGCAUCCUGUUUUUGUUGCGGAGAUAAAAAACGUAAGUCUAAAGCCAUUAGAAGGAGGCAGACAACAUCCUCAGGUGUUUCUGCAGUACACACAGCAGUUCAGCCAACUUCUUUGUCCUUGUAGCAGACUAAAUAAAUACAGAAAUUCAUCCAAACAGACAGAGCUGGAAGCUCUGACUCUGAGAAUCAGGAUCAAACUUUUACUUGACAGGGGAAACAGAACCGGUUUGUCUUAGUAAUUCACAUCUGCUUUGUACAGACCAAAGUUGAAUUCACCUAAAUAUUUAUUCAGCCAUUACAUUUCCUUUUGCCUAGAAAUAAAGUGGGCUCAACUUAUCUCAAAUUCAACUUCACUUAAAAUCUGCACGGAGACUUGAAAGACACUGGAAAGAGCAGCAAUGACAGCAGAAUAGCCAAGUCCUAGGCUGCACUAAGUGAGGACUUGCUCAAAUGCAACAGCUCUGGGCACAGAAACAAAGGAAAGAAGCUGCUUACCUUUGGAAGGCCUCAGGUAGGCAGGGAUCUCCAGUAAGAUCCCCUUACCUCCCCUGCCUGCCCUUAAAUGAGGUCUGGGAAGGGGUGGGUCCUGGCUCCACUCUUUCCAGUCACUCAGUUGCAUUGCCUGCACCUGAGCUCCCCUGGCUUGGCCCUGCCUUCCCACCAGGUGCCCCAUCCCUGCUUCAAGCCAUGACUUAGCAUUUCUGCUACACUACUUAAUUCCUUUUCUAAAAAACAGGGCAUAAGAAGUAUUAAAUACUUGACUUCCUGUUGUAUCUGGCUUCACCCUCCUUGAAAUACAAGUUUAGAUGUCCUUAAACCACAGUGUUGAAAAUGGAAAUUAAGUGCAGUUUUAGUAGCCAGGAUGCAGACAUGAAAUUAUUUUUAUUGAUUGAUCUAAUUACAUAACCUUGCAAUGCCACGUUUGCACUCACGUGGAUUUUGCACGCUUCUCCUCCACUUCGCUGAAGUUUUUAAUCAACCUCAAAAGAUCUCUUAAUGCUGCUGAUCUCCCUCCUACCAUAAACAUUAAACACUCAAAGCUGGCAGUUGAGCUCUUUACACUCUACAGCCCGGUUAUCUGAAAUCCAUCUCACCUAAAAAUGGAGUACAAGAUUUUUCUCACUGGUUCUUGCAAUGCAUUCCUUGUGCUCAAUCCCUUGUUUCUUUGCACUCGUAGAUGGUUUUCUGAAGGGCAUGUUUUGUUUUUCUCCAAGCCCACAGUUUAGAGCAAUGACGCUACACGUUUCGUAAAUUUAAUGUCUGGAUUUGUUCCCUGCACGCUUCUGAUUUUGCAACGUGUAUGUGACAAUGGAAGUAUAUUGAAUAACGAAGGCAAGACUAAUGAUGUAGCAUGGGCUUUAAUUCCCAUUGCGUCUCUAACUGAACUAUUUCAAACUUAAUUUUGGAUUGAAAAACAGAGAGAGCUAUGUGUACUCUUGAAAUCCUGAUAUUAGUAAGUUUUAGGAAGGGCAAGGCAGCUGUGAUUACUUGUGGAAUCUAUCAGUUCUCAUGCUUUGACAUUCCCCAAGAGACUGGCUGUAUCUUCUCUACAAAAAAGCUGCCCAAGUUCCAGUGGAUUGGUGUUCGGAUUACAGCGUCUGAAAGAUCAAAGGACGAUUACUCUUGCUCACCUUCAACCUUUCUUAUGCAUCGGUGUCCUUUUAGGAGAACGCUCCAAAUUCAUACUAUUGAAGCAGGGGAAAGACACUGAAUGAGAAAGUUGAGUUAAAAAGCGAGCAAAAUUUCUGUUACUAAGAAGAAGGGAAAAAUCCCUCAGAAAAGUCAUAACAGCUUUUGAAGUGCUAUCUCGGUCAACUCAGACUACCCCUGGAAUAGGCUGCAUGACAACUUUAAGAACUGCCCUCUGCAUCUACUCAUUUCUCAGCUUAUCUUCUGAACCUCUUCCAAGCCCCGCAGAGUCUACAAACGAAUACUUGACAAUCUCUGCCUGUACUCCUUGUUGUUGGUCUUGAAACGUCAAUAAUUGGGUUUGUUGAUCUUUGCUCUGUUUAACUGCUGACCACUUGCUUUCUUGAGCUCAGGAAAUCUUUCUUGCCUUGUUCUUCGCUUCUUGUCAUUUCAGCUAGUGCAGCGUUAACUCAUUCAUUCAUUUUAAUGCAUUUUGUUUAUCUCUUGCGUGCAGUUUGGAGGCUGUGAGCUACAGUAGAUGGGGUUGGUCUUCUUGUGUCAAGAGAAUGUAGUUUGGUGAAUUUCACUGUAUAUCAACUAUUGCACAGUGGUUCUACUGAUUUGCAUGAGCAAUGUGUAGAAGAACGCAACGUAAAAUUAGUUUGUAAAUUUGAAUAGAACAUUACUUGUCAAACACAGGUCAUCGCUUCUCCUAUUAUCUAAGGUGUAUGAAAGCAAAGCCCAUAGGAAAAGCUAAAAACCUGUUUAAACAAAACAGGUUACCUUUGACAUUCUGGUGAUUUUUCUCUAAGGAAAACAUGUUUUCCUACUUUAGAAAUGAAGCUCAAAAGACCCA